Molecule: non-coding RNA, 194 nt
Organism: Oryza glumipatula
Lineage: Eukaryota; Viridiplantae; Streptophyta; Magnoliopsida; Poales; Poaceae
Source: Rfam
UAUUAGGUUUACGUGUCCAACGUUUAACCAUCCGUCUUAUUUGAAAAAAAUAAAAAAAAAUUAAAAAGACAAGUCACACAUAAAGUAUUAAUCAUGUUUUAUCAUCUAACAACAAUGAAAAUACUAAUUAUAAAAAAAUUUCAUAUAAAACGGACAGUCAACGUUUGAUAUGGAAACACAGGGUUUGUGUUGUA